AACGAACGCUGGCGGCAUGCCUAACACAUGCAAGUCGAACGAGACCUUCGGGUCUAGUGGCGCACGGGUGCGUAACGCGUGGGAAUCUGCCCUUCGGUUGGGAAUAACUGAGAGAAAUUUCAGCUAAUACCUUAUAAUGUCUUCGGACCAAAGAUUUAUCGCCGAGGGAUGAGCCCGCGUAGGAUUAGGUAGUUGGUGGGGUAAUGGCCUACCAAGCCGACGAUCCUUAGCUGGUCUGAGAGGAUGAUCAGCCACACUGGGACUGAGACACGGCCCAGACUCCAAGGGGAGGGAGAAGGGGGGAAAAGUGGAAAAUGGGCGAAAGCCUGACCCAGAAAUGCCGGGUAGGGGAAGAAGGCCUUAGGGUUGGAAAGCUUUUUUACCCGGGAUGAAAAGAAAGGAACGGGGAAAAAAAGCCCCGGCUAACCCGGG
This 432-nucleotide ribosomal RNA is filed under the name uncultured bacterium. RNAcentral describes it as "partial 16S ribosomal RNA". It matches the Rfam family "Bacterial small subunit ribosomal RNA", at positions 29 to 506 of the family's 1533-position model. The record is from RNAcentral.